GAUGAACGCUGACAGAAUGCUUAACACAUGCAAGUCGAUGGGGAAGUGGUGCUUGCACCAUGGCAACCAUGGCGGACGGGUGAGUAACGCGUAAGGGACUUACCUGCAGGACUGGGAUAACAGGGGGAACCUCCUGACAAGACCGGAUAAUGUCAUGGAGCUGCAUGGCUUUAUGAUGAAAGGAGACGCCUGCGGAGAGCCUUGCGUCCUAUUAGCUAGUUGGUGAGGUAAUGGCUCACCAAGGCGAAGAUAGUUAGCCGGCCUGAGAGGGUGGACGGCCACAAGGGGACUGAGAUACGGCCCUUACUCCUACGGGAGGCAGCAGUGGGGAAUAUUGGACAAUGGGGGCAACCCUGAUCCAGCAAUUCUGUGUGCACGAAGAAGGUUUUCGGAUUGUAAAGUGCUUUCAGCAGGGAAGAAGUAAGUGACGGUACCUGCAGAAGAAGCGACGGCUAAAUACGUG
Molecule: ribosomal RNA, 463 nt
Filed under: uncultured bacterium
Lineage: Bacteria
Description: partial 16S ribosomal RNA
Rfam family: Bacterial small subunit ribosomal RNA
Source: RNAcentral